GACGAACGCUGGCGGCGUGCUUAACACAUGCAAGUCGAACGAGAAGAGAUGAGAAGCUUGCUUCUUAUCAAUUCGAGUGGCAAACGGGUGAGUAACGCGUAAGCAACCUGCCCUUCAGAUGGGGACAACAGCUGGAAACGGCUGCUAAUACCGAAUACGUUCUUUUGUCGCAUGGCAGAGGGAAGAAAGGGAGGCUCUUCGGAGCUUUCGCUGAAGGAGGGGCUUGCGUCUGAUUAGCUAGUUGGAGGGGUAACGGCCCACCAAGGCGACGAUCAGUAGCCGGUCUGGAGAGGAUGAACGGCCACAUUGGGACUGAGACACGGCCCAGACUCCUACGGAGCAGCAGUGGGAAUCUUGCACAAUGGGCGAAAGCCUGAUGCAGCGAAGCCGCGUGAGCGAAGAAGUAUUCGGUAUGUAAAGCUCUAUCAGCAGG
Molecule: ribosomal RNA, 433 nt
Filed under: uncultured bacterium
Lineage: Bacteria
Description: bacterial SSU rRNA
Rfam family: Bacterial small subunit ribosomal RNA
Source: RNAcentral